AACGAACGCUGGCGGCGUGCCUAACACAUGCAAGUCGUGCGAGAAAGUUCCUUCGGGAGCGAGUAAAGCGGCGCACGGGUGAGUAACACGUAGGUAACCUGCCCCCAGUCUGGAACAACUAGAGGAAACUCUAGCUAAUGCCGGAUGAGACCACGAUCCCUUCGGGGGUUGCGGCCAAGAUGGCCUCUACUUGUAAGCUAUCGCUGAGGGAUGGGCCUGCGGGCCAUUAGCUUGUUGGUGAGGUAACGGCUCACCAAGGCUGUGAUGGCUAGCUGGUCUGAGAGGAUGACCAGCCACACUGGGACUGAGACACGGCCCAGACUCCUACGGAGGCAGCAGUGGGGAAUAUUGCGCAAUGGGCGAAAGCCUGACGCAGCGACGCCGCGUGGGUGAUGAAGGCC
RNAcentral lists this ribosomal RNA (401 nucleotides) under uncultured bacterium. RNAcentral's name for it is "bacterial SSU rRNA". It matches the Rfam family "Bacterial small subunit ribosomal RNA", at positions 29 to 416 of the family's 1533-position model. The record is from RNAcentral.